Molecule: ribosomal RNA, 550 nt
Filed under: Amphiascoides atopus
Lineage: Eukaryota; Metazoa; Arthropoda; Copepoda; Harpacticoida; Miraciidae
Description: 12S ribosomal RNA
Source: RNAcentral
GGUUUUAUGCCAGCCUUUCCUAGGUUCAAGAGACUCCUCAUAAACAGAGUAAAGUGGAUUAGUUUAUAAGUUUUUCAAAGUCUCCUUAGAAGACAAUUUAGUGCCAGCACCUUCGGUUAUACUAAACCUGCCCUAGUAACUCUAAAACCCUUUUUUCAACCGGUAUAAUGUUCUUUAAAUAUAUUUUUUAGACCAAUUUUUACCAGGAUUAGUACCCUGCUACAAAAUUUUUUUAGGAAAAACCUAAGCUCUAUGGCCGUGUUAAAAUUUCAGAGAAAUUUGUCUAUUGAUAAUCCACAAUAUUAUUUAUAAGUUUUUUAUUUGUGUGUGCUCGUCUAAAUUCUUUUUUAAAAAAUGUUUUAUCGUCAGACUUCAUUUAAUAAAACUUUUCUAAGAUGAAUUGCAAUAACUUAAACCUCCAAUUAAUAAUCUUAGGAUUUGUUAGUAAUUUAAAUUUAUGAACCUCUUUUUAACAGACUCAUAUCGUCCGUCACUCUCCAAGAGAUAAGUCGUAGCAAAGUAAUUACAGUAGAAACUGUAAUUCAAAUUU